UGUACUGAAGAUCUCACUGAAAACAGUUUUCACCCAGGCAGCAUCUCAGUGCAUAAAUGUUCGGAGCAACCUGUAGCCAUGGCAAAUCGCUGACAUUUUAAUGGUGCUCUCAGCACCAAGUCUAAGAAUCCACUGGGCUUCUGUCUCUGCUCAUGAUUCUCCAUCUCGAAGUGACUGCA
Nothoprocta perdicaria is the source of this 179-nucleotide long non-coding RNA. RefSeq lists it as uncharacterized. The record is from RefSeq and is a predicted model, not a curated record. The transcript is spliced from 2 exons. NCBI's taxonomy places the organism in Eukaryota, Metazoa, Chordata, Aves, Tinamiformes, Tinamidae.